Molecule: ribosomal RNA, 429 nt
Filed under: Pseudomonadota bacterium
Lineage: Bacteria; Pseudomonadati; Pseudomonadota
Description: Proteobacteria bacterium partial 16S ribosomal RNA
Rfam family: Bacterial small subunit ribosomal RNA
Source: RNAcentral
UGGGGAAUAUUGGACAAUGGGCGAAAGCCUGACCCAGCCAUGCCGCGUGUGUGAAGAAGGUCUUCGGAUUGUAAAGCACUUUAAGUUGGGAGGAAGGGCAGUAAGCGAAUACCUUGCUGUUUUGACGUUACCGACAGAAUAAGCACCGGCUAACUCUGUGCCAGCAGCCGCGGUAAUACAGAGGGUGCAAGCGUUAAUCGGAAUUACUGGGCGUAAAGCGCGCGUAGGUGGUUCGUUAAGUUGAAUGUGAAAGCCCCGGGCUCAACCUGGGAACUGCAUCCAGAACUGGCGAGCUAGAGGAGGGCAGAGGGUGGUGGAAUUUCCUGUGUAGCGGUGAAAUGCGUAGAUAUAGGAAGGAAAAACAGUGGCGAAGGCGACCACCUGAGCUCAUACUGACACUGAGGUGCGAAAGCGUGGGGAGCAAACAGG